RNAcentral lists this ribosomal RNA (440 nucleotides) under uncultured Anaerolineae bacterium. RNAcentral's name for it is "partial 16S ribosomal RNA". It matches the Rfam family "Bacterial small subunit ribosomal RNA", at positions 338 to 794 of the family's 1533-position model. Lineage: Bacteria; Bacillati; Chloroflexota; Anaerolineae. The record is from RNAcentral.
CCUACGGGAGGCAGCAGUAAGGAAUCUUGCGCAAUGGGCGAAAGCCUGACGCAGCGACGCCGCGUGGGCGAUGAAGGCCUUCGGGUUGUAAAGCCCUUUUCUGGGGGACGAGGAAGGACGGUACCCCAGGAAUAAGUCACGGCUAACUACGUGCCAGCAGCCGCGGUAACACGUAGGUGGCGAGCGUUAUCCGGAUUCACUGGGCGUAAAGCGCGUGCAGGCGGUUCCGUAAGUCGGACGUGAAAGCUCCUGGCUUAACUGGGAGAGGUCGUUCGAUACUGCGGAACUUGAGGUUGGGAGAGGGGUGUGGAAUUCCCGGUGUAGUGGUGAAAUGCGUAGAUAUCGGGAGGAACACCAGGGGCGAAGGCGGCUCUCUGGGGUCAACCUGACGCUGAGGUGCGAAAGCGUGGGGAGCGAACCGGAUUAGAUACCCCGGUAGU